AAAUAUAUGUUAAGUGGAAAAGGAUGUGGGGUUGCUUAGACAACCAGGAUGUUGGCUUAGAAGCAGCCACCAUUGAAAGAGUGCGUAAUAGCUCACUGGUCGAGUGACCCCGCGCCGAAAAUGUACCGGGGCUAAACAUAUUACCGAAACUGUGGAUGAACCUCUUUAGAGGUUCGUGGUAGGAGAGCGUUCUAAGGGCGGUGAAGUCAGACCGGAAGGACUGGUGGAGCGCUUAGAAGUGAGAAUGCCGGUAUGAGUAGCGAAAGAAGGGUGAGAAUCCCUUCCACCGAAUAUCUAAGGUUUCCUGAGGAAGGCUCGUCCGCUCAGGGUUAGUCGGGACCUAAGCCGAGGCCGAUAGGCGUAGGCGAUGGACAACAGGUAGAGAUUCCUGUACCAGUGCUAAUUGUUUAACCGAUGGGGUGACACAGAAGGAUAGGGAAUCGCACGAAUGGAAAUGUGCGUCCAAGCAGUGAGUGUGAGAAGUAGGCAAAUCCGCUUCUCGCGAAGCAUGAGCUGUGAUGGGGAAGGAAAUUAAGUACGGAAGUUCCUGAUUUCACGCUGUCAAGAAAAGCCUCUAGGAAGAGUAGUACUGCCCGUACCGCAAACCGACACAGGUAGAUGAGGAGAGAAUCCUAAGGUGAGCGAGAGAACUCUCGUUAAGGAACUCGGCAAAAUGACCCCGUAACUUCGGGAGAAGGGGUGCUCUAUUAGGGUGCAAGCCCGAGAGAGCCGCAGUGAAUAGGCCCAGGCGACUGUUUAGCAAAAACACAGGUCUCUGCAAAACCGUAAGGUGACGUAUAGGGGCUGACGCCUGCCCGGUGCUGGAAGGUUAAGAGGAGUGCUUAGCUUCGGCGAAGGUACGAAUUGAAGCCCCAGUAAACGGCGGCCGUAACUAUAACGGUCCUAAGGUAGCGAAAUUCCUUGUCGGGUAAGUUCCGACCCGCACGAAAGGCGCAACGAUCUGGGCACUGUCUCAACGAGAGACUCGGUGAAAUUAUAGUACCUGUGAAGAUGCAGGUUACCCGCGACAGGACGGAAAGACCCCGUGGAGCUUUACUGCAACCUGAUAUGGAAUGUUUGUACCGCUUGUACAGGAUAGGUAGGAGCCGAAGAGACGUGUGCGCUAGCAUACGAGGAGGCAAUGGUGGGAUACUACCCUGGCUGUAUGACCAUUCUAACCCGCCACGCUUAGCGCGUGGGGAGACAGUGUCAGGUGGGCAGUUUGACUGGGGCGGUCGCCUCCUAAAGAGUAACGGAGGCGCCCAAAGGUUCCCUCAGAAUGGAUGGAAAUCAUUCGCAGAGUGUAAAGGCACAAGGGAGCUUGACUGCGAGACUGACAAGUCGAGCAGGGACGAAAGUCGGGCUUAGUGAUCCGGUGGUUCCGCAUGGAAGGGCCAUCGCUCAACGGAUAAAAGCUACCCCGGGGAUAACAGGCUUAUCUCCCCCAAGAGUCCACAUCGACGGGGAGGUUUGGCACCUCGAUGUCGGCUCGUCGCAUCCUGGGGCUGUAGUCGGUCCCAAGGGUUGGGCUGUUCGCCCAUUAAAGCGGCACGCGAGCUGGGUUCAGAACGUCGUGAGACAGUUCGGUCCCUAUCCGUCGCGGGCGCAGGAAAUUUGAGAGGAGCUGUCCUUAGUACGAGAGGACCGGGAUGGACACACCGCUGGUGUACCAGUUGUUCCGCCAGGAGCAUCGCUGGGUAGCUAUGUGUGGCAGGGAUAAACGCUGAAAGCAUCUAAGCGUGAAGCCCCCCUCAAGAUGAGAUUUCCCAUUUCUUCGGAAAGUAAGAUCCCUGAAAGAUGAUCAGGUAGAUAGGUUUGGAGUGGAAGUGUAGCGAUACAUGGAGCGGACAAAUACUAAUCGAUCGAGGACUUAACCAAAA
This 1880-nucleotide ribosomal RNA is filed under the name Listeria monocytogenes. RNAcentral describes it as "partial 23S ribosomal RNA". It matches the Rfam family "Bacterial large subunit ribosomal RNA", at positions 1050 to 2925 of the family's 2925-position model. Lineage: Bacteria; Bacillati; Bacillota; Bacilli; Caryophanales; Listeriaceae. The record is from RNAcentral.